RNAcentral lists this transfer RNA (77 nucleotides) under Sporobolus alterniflorus (smooth cordgrass). RNAcentral describes it as "tRNA-Met". It matches the Rfam family "tRNA". From Rfam's summary of the family: Transfer RNA (tRNA) molecules are approximately 80 nucleotides in length. Their secondary structure includes four short double-helical elements and three loops (D, anti-codon, and T loops). Lineage: Eukaryota; Viridiplantae; Streptophyta; Magnoliopsida; Poales; Poaceae. RNAcentral also lists the same sequence under 2 other names. The record is from RNAcentral.
UGGGCUUAUAGUUUAAUUGGUUGAAACGUACCGCUCAUAACGGUGAUAUUGUAGGUUCGAGCCCUACUAAGCCCAUC